Molecule: small nucleolar RNA, 87 nt
Filed under: Stegodyphus mimosarum
Lineage: Eukaryota; Metazoa; Arthropoda; Arachnida; Araneae; Eresidae
Source: RNAcentral
GUGCAAUGAUGAAUUAGCCAUGCUAAUACUGAGGCAUGCAACUGCAAAUUUUGUGUGUCGUUGAGUUUAACAAAAAAUCUGAGCACA